This 2758-nucleotide long non-coding RNA is filed under the name Lactuca sativa (garden lettuce). RNAcentral's name for it is "long non-coding RNA (LSAT_LNC009535)". The record is from RNAcentral. Lineage: Eukaryota; Viridiplantae; Streptophyta; Magnoliopsida; Asterales; Asteraceae.
CAAAAACCAGCAUUUAUGCUCAAGAAACUAGAGAGCACCCGACAUCGACAAAAAAUAACAAAAAGGGAAAAUAUGCAUGUGAAUUAAUUAAAUUACGAAUGAAAUCUGAUAAAUAAACUAUAAAAAAAAGUAAAUCAAAAGAAACUAUUAGAUAACAUGGUUAUUGCAUGCAUCCAAUAAAUCAUCAUAUUCAUUUUCAAAAAAUCACUUUUAAGGUUUCAUAUAAAAUCUAGUUUUUAUAUAAUUUGAUGUGGUCCAGUUUUAAAGUUAUAUCUAAUAUUAAAUUUGAAGUUUGAACAUUAUAGAACCUUAUAUAUCUUUUAACAAAACUUCCUCUUAUUAUUAAGACUUUGGAGUUUUGAUAAAUUUUCAAAAUCACCAUUUUAGACUUAUAAUUUUAGUAUUUCAAAAUUUGACAUUAUUAUGGUUUUUAUAAAAAAAAAUGUUUUUUUAUUUUCAAACCAUAACUUGUUACAAACUGUCUAUAUUUUAAAAAAACCAAGAUGAUCCAAAUAUUCAUAAAUUCUAACCAAGCUAGCAAGAAUGCUUUGCCAAAAAUUGUUGGCUUUUUAUUCAAAAGAUAUUUCAAAAACACAAUAUUAGCAACAUAAGACUCUUAUAAUUUGAACAACAUAAACUAGUUCAUACUUACCAAAGGUCUACUUGCAAAGAUUGUAAAGAAAAUAACAACCACACAGGAUGUAAGGUUAUAAAAACGUUUGUUGUAAUUUGAGUCCUGAAGGGAAUGCUUGAUAGUUAAUGAAGAAGGAAAAGAUCAAAAGAAGAAUCUUUCUAUAUGUAUCUACAAAAACAAGUCACCAAGCCACUAAUAGAUGCUAGUCCUUCACUUGAUUAUAGUUUUUCUUAAGCCUCUAAGACUUAUCUGAAAUAAGUCUUCAAAGGAGAACCAAUUAAACCACAAAAAACUACACAACAAGAUUCCUAGAGAAAGGACAAGAGAGGACAGGGAUGAGAACUCUUCGCUUUUGCUUCAAAAAGAAGAAGAUAAAAGUUAGUAGCUUUAGUUAUUUCACUUAUUUUACAUACACACAUAUUGCAACCCAUAAUUUCAUUAAAUGAUCUCAUAAAUUUCAAGUAAGCUAAGUGGUUUAAAAAGAAGUCAAAGCACACAAACUAUCUAUACUUGUACUAGUAUGGACGGUUUGUAUGAGAGAGAUUGAAGAAGAUGUGUAACACACUCUAGUUUUUAUAUGUCAAAGAUAAGGCUAAAGAGGCACACCAACCUUCCCAAUAUAGAGCUCCAAACAAAAUCCUGAAAUUGCCCCUUAAGGAAUCCAUUUGGGCCGCGUGGAAACCUUAUGCGGGUCGCUUGAGUGUGAUGGAUUUUUGGGCUUCUUCAAGUCUUGGGCCCCCAUAGCUGUUCCAUUGGCCCAAUUCGAGUCUAAUCAGCUUCUAGCCCAUUUUUCUUCAAAUUUUUAUCAAUAUGAGCCCAAAUUGCCUCUCCAAAUCACUCAAAGCUUCUGCAAACUCCCGAACAUCGAUCUCUGCACAUUUGAAAAUUUUCCCGCGCCUUGCAAAUUUAAAGUUUAAAUCUUCCAAGCCUACAAUUGACAAGCCCACUCCAUGAAUCACCUCCACAGUUAUGAAGCCCAAAAUUCUUGACGAUUUCUAAGCCCAAUCGCUUCAAAAGGAUCCCGCACAUUCCCGCUCUUCUAGUCUCCAAAAACCUGCAAUUAUGCACAAGAAACUAGAGAGCACCCGAAAUAGACACAAAGUAACAAAAAGGGAAAAUAUGCAUAUGAAUUAAAUAAAUUACGAAUGAAAUAUGAUAAAUAAACUAUAAAAAAAGUAAAUAAAAUGAAACUAUUAGAUAACAUGGUUAUUGCAUGCAUCCAAUAAAUCAUCAUAUUCAUUUUCAAAAAAUCACUUUUAAGGUUUCAUAUAAAAUCUAGUUUUUAUAUAAUUUGAUGUGGUCCAGUUUUAAAGUUAUAUCUAAUAUUAAAUUUGAAGUUUGAACAUUAUAGAACCUUAUAUAUCUUUUAACAAAACAUCCUCUUAUUAUUAAGACUUUGGAGUUUUGAUAAGUUUCAAAAUCACCAUUUUAGACUUAUAAUUUCAGUAUUUCAAAAUUUUACAUUAUUAUGGUUUUUAUAAAAAAAAUGUUUUUUUAUUUUCAAACCAUAACUUGUUACAAACUGUCUAUAUUUUCAAAAAACCAAGAUGAUCCAAAUAUUCAUAAAUUCUAAACAAGCUAGCAAGAAUGCUUUGCCAAAAAUUGUUGGCUUUUUAUUCAAAAAAUAUUUCUAAUACACAAUAUUAGCAACAUAAGACUCUUAUAAUUUGAACAACAUAAACUAGUUUAUACUUACCAAAGGAUCUACUUGCAAAGAUUGUAAAGAAAAUAACAACCACACAGGAUGUAAGGUUAUAAAAACGUUUGUUGUAAUUUGAGUCCUGAAGGGAAUGCUUGAUAGUUAAUGAAGAAGGAAAAGAUCAAAAGAAGAAUCUUUCUAUAUGUAUCUACAAAAACAAGUCACCAAGCCACUAAUAGAUGCUAGUCCUUCACUUGAUUAUAGUUUUUCUUAAGCCUCUAAGACUUAUCUGAAAUAAGUCUUCAAAGGAGAACCAAUUAAAGCACAAAAAGCUACACAACAAGAUUCCAAGAGAGAGGACAAGAGAGGAGAGGGAUGAGAACUCUUAGCUUUUGCUUCAAAAACAAGAAGACAAAAGUUAGUAGCUUUAGUUAUUUCACUUAUUCUACUUACACACAUAUUGCAACCCAUAAUUUCGUAAAAUG